AUUAGACUACCCGGUAGUCCCAGCUGUAAACUAUGUGCGUUAGGUGUGUCAGUGACCACGUGUCACUGAGGUGCCGAAGGGAAACCGUGAAACGCACCGCCGUGGGAGUACGGUCGCAAGGCUGAAACUUAAAGGAAUUGGCGGGGGAGCACCGCAACGGGAGGAGCGUGCGGUUCAAUUGGAUUCAACGCCGGACAACUCACCAGGAGCGACGGUUACAUGAAGGCCAGGCUGAUGACCUUGCCUGAUUUUCCG
Molecule: ribosomal RNA, 255 nt
Filed under: uncultured archaeon
Lineage: Archaea
Description: partial 16S ribosomal RNA
Rfam family: Archaeal small subunit ribosomal RNA
Source: RNAcentral